CGAUUUUCUCGACAUCGGCUCUCCAUCGAGAGCUCCUUCUCCUCUUCUGCUUGAUUUAGCUCCGAGCGCUUCUCCCCAAACCAGCUCAGCUCGCCUCGUCCAUAUCACCGGCCGUUGCCUCCUUCGGCGUUGCGUCCGUCUUUCAGUUAGGUUGUAAGAGCUCCGGACACGAGAGAAGACCGGUCAGAUCUAACUAGAAGAAGAAUAACAACGCGACGAGCAAAGUCGUUUCUGUUUCGCUUUGAGUACUCUCUCGACGGAUUGAGGGGAAGAACCAUGGUGAUCCGGAGUGAUCCAGGAAGAUUCAUUGUGGAAACAAGAACAAAGUGAAUAGAAUGGACAAGUAAGGAACAUUGUUUUUGUAGCUGCGCCUAUUAAGUUCCCAAGUGCUUUGUUUGGGAUGUUUUAUAUCUUCUCUGUUCUUAUGAUAUUUGAUUCGGUUGUUCCUGCUGCUGUAAGGAAUAUCUUUCUGUCAGAGAUAUUUCGGCUGCUUAAUUCCGGUGUCAAAAUCUGUUACAUUGUAGGUAUAUAUUCUCACUCAACACGCGAUCGAUGAACUUAAUCUUCACUUACAAGUCAAAACUUGGUUUAUAUACUCUUGUUCUUUGGUAGCUUUUGUGGUAAUUUGGUCUAAUUGCUCUGUUCUGUAUUAUAUUCGAAGCUCAUCUGAUGUCAAUGUUGAAUUAAAUGUUUGUAUAGCCGGUGGAUGGUUGGCGUCUCUUUGUGUAGCAGGGUUCACAGCUAUUGUAGUGAGAAAAAUGGUGAAAACCAAGUAACGUUGGUUAGAUAGAGAGACUAGAUUAGGUUAUUAUAUUAUUGCUAACGACGUUGUACUUUGGGUAUUUUAAUUUCAAAGUAAAUAUAUGAUAUUGUGGAAGAUAAAUGAUUAUUACAGCUUGGUUCAACUA
This is a long non-coding RNA of Arabidopsis lyrata subsp. lyrata, 908 nucleotides long. RefSeq lists it as uncharacterized. Lineage: Eukaryota; Viridiplantae; Streptophyta; Magnoliopsida; Brassicales; Brassicaceae. The transcript is spliced from 2 exons. The record is from RefSeq and is a predicted model, not a curated record.